This 331-nucleotide ribosomal RNA is filed under the name uncultured eukaryote. Its description in RNAcentral is "partial 18S ribosomal RNA". It matches the Rfam family "Eukaryotic small subunit ribosomal RNA", at positions 1470 to 1796 of the family's 1831-position model. The record is from RNAcentral.
CCCUUAGAUGUUCUGGGCCGCACGCGCGCUACACUGUUCGACGCAGCGAGUCUUAACCUUGACCGAAAGGUUUGGGUAAUCCUCAGCAAAGUCGAACGUGAUGGGGAUCGAUCAUUGCAAUUAUUGAUCGUGAACGAGGAAUUCCUAGUAAGUGCAAGUCAUCAGCUUGCGCUGAUUACGUCCCUGCCCUUUGUACACACCGCCCGUCGCUACUACCGAUUGAAUGGUUUAGUGAGAUCUCUGGAUUGACGCUGGCUAGGGGGCGACCCUUGGCCAGACUGUUGAGAAACUGCUCAAACUUGAUCAUUUAGAGGAAGUAAAAGUCGUAACA